This 464-nucleotide ribosomal RNA is filed under the name uncultured bacterium. RNAcentral's name for it is "bacterial SSU rRNA". It matches the Rfam family "Bacterial small subunit ribosomal RNA", at positions 330 to 792 of the family's 1533-position model. The record is from RNAcentral.
ACCAGACUCCUACGGGAGGCAGCAGUGAGGAAUAUUGGUCAAUGGGCGCGAGCCUGAACCAGCCAAGUCGCGUGAGGGAAGACGGUCCUAUGGAUUGUAAACCUCUUUUGUCGGGGAGCAAAAGACGCCACGCGUGGCGUUCCGAGAGUACCCGAAGAAAAAGCAUCGGCUAACUCCGUGCCAGCAGCCGCGGUAAUACGGAGGAUGCGAGCGUUAUCCGGAUUUAUUGGGUUUAAAGGGCGCGCAGGCGGAUUUUUAAGUCAGCGGUCAAAUCGUGGGGCUCAACCCCAUCCAGCCGUUGAAACUGGGGAUCUAGAGUGUGCGAGAGGUAUGCGGAAUGCGUGGUGUAGCGGUGAAAUGCUUAGAUAUCGCGCAGAACCCCGAUUGCGAAGGCAGCGUACCGGCUCCACACUGACGCUGAGGCACGAAAGCGUGGGUAUCGAACAGGAUUAGAUACCCCUGUA